UCAAACUCGAAGCCAGGGUUCCACACCAGUGAUCCAUAGCCAAAAACCCACAACACCAUUUUCUCAGAGUUUCCUAAAUCGGCCCCGACGAGCUGAAUCGGGAACUGUGAGUCCGGCGAGCUGCGAUUCCUCGGCGCCGGCGAUGGAUCAGGAGAGAGGAGGCGGAAAAAUGAGGAGGAAGGGUUGAAGGAAACCCUAGAUCUCCCAAAAUCGCCCCUCUUCUCUCUCUCGCUCUCUUUGUCGGGUUCAG
Molecule: unclassified non-coding RNA, 250 nt
Filed under: Hevea brasiliensis (rubber tree)
Lineage: Eukaryota; Viridiplantae; Streptophyta; Magnoliopsida; Malpighiales; Euphorbiaceae
Source: RNAcentral